UACGGGGGGGGCAAGCGUUGUUCGGAAUUACUGGGCGUAAAGGGCUCGUAGGCGGCCAACUAAGUCAGAUGUGAAAUCCCCGGGCUUAACCUGGGAACUGCGUUUGAAACUGGAAGGCUUGAGUGUGGCAGAGGGGGGUGGAAUUCCACGUGUAGCAGUGAAAUGCGUAGAGAUGUGGAGGAACACCGAUGGCGAAGGCAACUGCCUGGGCCUGAUCUGACGCUGAGGUACGAAAGCGUGGGUAGCAAACAGG
This 253-nucleotide ribosomal RNA is filed under the name uncultured bacterium. RNAcentral describes it as "partial 16S ribosomal RNA". It matches the Rfam family "Bacterial small subunit ribosomal RNA", at positions 524 to 776 of the family's 1533-position model. The record is from RNAcentral.